Molecule: ribosomal RNA, 440 nt
Filed under: uncultured bacterium
Lineage: Bacteria
Description: partial 16S ribosomal RNA
Rfam family: Bacterial small subunit ribosomal RNA
Source: RNAcentral
CCUACGGGCGGCAGCAGUGGGGAAUAUUGCACAAUGGGGGAAACCCUGAUGCAGCGACGCCGCGUGAGUGAAGAAGUAAUUCGUUACGUAAAGCGCUAUAAGCAGGGAAGAAAAUGAAGAUAACUGAGUAAGAAGCCCCGGCUAACUAAGUGCCAGCAGCCGCGGUAAUACGGAGGGGGCAAGCGUUAUCCGGAUUUACUGGGUGUAAAGGGAGCGUAGACGGUGAGUCAAGUCUGGAGUGAAAUGCCGCGGCUUAACUGAGGAACUGCUUUGGAAACUGGCGAACUAGAGUGCUGGAGGGGAAAGUGGAAUUCCUAGUGUAGCGGUGAAAUGCGUAGAUAUUAGGAGGAACACCGGUGGCGAAGGCGGCUUACUGGACCGUAACUGACGUUGAGGCUCGAAAGCGUGGGGAGCAAACAGGAUUAGAUACCCGUGUAGUC